Molecule: non-coding RNA, 21 nt
Filed under: Mus musculus (house mouse)
Lineage: Eukaryota; Metazoa; Chordata; Mammalia; Rodentia; Muridae
Source: RNAcentral
UAUGACUACCUGGUAUGACUC